RNAcentral lists this ribosomal RNA (350 nucleotides) under Theileria velifera. RNAcentral describes it as "SSU rRNA". It matches the Rfam family "Eukaryotic small subunit ribosomal RNA", at positions 483 to 871 of the family's 1831-position model. Lineage: Eukaryota; Apicomplexa; Aconoidasida; Piroplasmida; Theileriidae. The record is from RNAcentral.
AUACGGGGCUUAAUGUCUUGUAAUUGGAAUGAUGGGAAUUUAAACCUCUUCCAGAGUAUCAAUUGGAGGGCAAGUCUGGUGCCAGCAGCCGCGGUAAUUCCAGCUCCAAUAGCGUAUAUUAAAAUUGUUGCAGUUAAAAAGCUCGUAGUUGAAUUUCUGCUACAUUGCCUAUUCUCCUUUACGAGUUUGGGUCUUUUGUGGCUUAUCUGGGUUCGCUUGCGUUCCCGGUGUUUUACUUUGAGAAAAUUAGAGUGCUCAAAGCAGGCUUUUGCCUUGAAUAGUUUAGCAUGGAAUAAUAAAGUAGGACUUUGGUUCUAUUUUGUUGGUUUUAGGUACCAAAGUAAUGGUUA